UCGGAUUUUAUCCUAUAAACAACCUACAACCCGGUUCAGGAUAACUUUCCAUGCGAGUAUAUUAUCUACGUUUUGACGGCUAUAGAUAAUAUAUCUCAUGCACUCUCUUGUCGAACACUUUGUUUGUUUCCCCAACUGAGUAAGAUUUGCAUUCUUUACAGAAUCAAAUAUCCAUCCUAUAAACAAGUUUGCUUUCGCUCUCUUCAGGAUGAUGAGUGUUUUG
This 223-nucleotide long non-coding RNA is filed under the name Lathyrus oleraceus (garden pea). RNAcentral's name for it is "Pisum sativum (pea) long non-coding RNA (PSAT_LNC016541)". Lineage: Eukaryota; Viridiplantae; Streptophyta; Magnoliopsida; Fabales; Fabaceae. The record is from RNAcentral.